This 77-nucleotide transfer RNA is filed under the name Bacilli bacterium. RNAcentral's name for it is "tRNA-Pro". It matches the Rfam family "tRNA". From Rfam's summary of the family: Transfer RNA (tRNA) molecules are approximately 80 nucleotides in length. Their secondary structure includes four short double-helical elements and three loops (D, anti-codon, and T loops). The record is from RNAcentral. Lineage: Bacteria; Bacillati; Bacillota; Bacilli. RNAcentral also lists the same sequence under 1 other name.
CGGGACGUAGCACAGCUUGGUAGUGCGCUUGGUUCGGGACCAAGAGGUCGUGGGUUCGAAUCCCACCGUUCCGACCA